Bos taurus (domestic cattle) is the source of this 1868-nucleotide long non-coding RNA. The record is from Ensembl. Lineage: Eukaryota; Metazoa; Chordata; Mammalia; Artiodactyla; Bovidae.
UCUGGCCUGCCACGUGGGAGCUUUAUUUUAUUUUCCCUAGUCCCUAAGCAGCAACUUCCCCGGGCCUGCUGAAGCUUGCUUAGCACCCAGAAAAGAGGCCAUGUGCUUGCUUUUCCACUGGGGGCUUGGGCUGAAACUGUGGAUCUUGCUGCUGGGAAACCCCAUCAAGACUGGGGCACCUGAAAGGGUGACCGCAAUGGCCCUCUUACACAGGCAGGCUCAUAGCCUGCCUCUACUCUAACCAUGCCCCCACUUGGACAAAGCCAGGGCAAGAGAACAAAAGAGCAAGCUGCUCCCAUGUACUUGGAAGGACGAGAUAUUCACAUUCCUGUAGCUUCAACAUUUUGAUUUGAAGAAAGGCAGUUUACACAGUGAGCAGAAGACCGGUUUUGGUCACCACCACACACUGCUCUUGCUUGUUUGAAAACCUCAUUGUACUUUGGGGUUAGAGGCUCCAGUGGCCCUGAACACCCCCGCCUAGCCUUAGAGGUCACUGUAGCUUCCUUUUCUCCCCACUCCCACCUUCCUGGCUGCUGGUGCCAGAAACCUUCCACCAAGAGGCACCACUUUCCCCUGUGGCCCUGAAAGCGUUCUGGGAGGGCUGAAGCUGGGGCUCUGAGCCCCUGGAGGCCCAGGCCCAGCUCCUGCAUCACACCCCCUGGCCCCUAGCCGACCUACUUUCUUACCUGACUAGUUUUCUGGACUUGGUUGCCCAUCAGGCCUAGACCCCCUGCCCAGCCUUCCCUACCUGCCCUGCGGCUGAGCAGUGUGUGGGCUGGUGUGGGAGCCUGCCUAGUGAGUGGAGGCCUGGAAAACAGGUGCUGUGUGAACCAAAUUCUCUGUUAGCUGAAAGUGUAAACAACCCUCUUCUUCCUGAAGCCACAGGACAGAAAAGUAGUCAUUGUGAAGGAAAGGACGAUCCCGUGGCUGAGGUCCCUCCCCAAGGGGUCGAGAACAUACAAGCAGGAGACAUACGUAGGCACACACACCCGUGUGCUGCCCUGUGCCAGGUGCAGUAAGGAGCAAGGGUUACAGAAAGAAUGGGACACAGUCCUUGCUCUCAAGGAACUCCCAGUCCUUGGGAAAGGUGUGGCUUACCUUCUUCCAGCGAGCUGAACACCAAGCUCCUUCCCUCCCCGGAGCGGUGGGAUGGGGCUGAUGUAAGUCUUGUUUAGGACAGGCCAGCCAGCCUGCAAGCUGAGGGCUGGGAGUGGGCCCAGAUAACCUCGACUCCACCCUGACUGUUGCCUCCACAACCCACGGCUGAUGCCCUCAUCCCUGGCACCUUGACCUGCCCCAUCUCCAACCUAAGCUACCCAGGUUACCUCAGCAAACCCCCACAGGCAUAGGGGAAUGAGUCAGAGCUCUGGGUCUCUCAUCAACCCUUGGUUCCCACACCCAGGAACCCAGGGACUAAGAUGCAGGUUGGGUGCUUCAGUUGAAAGAGGAGCCACCAGGCCUCUCUAACAAGAGAAAGACAUCUAGAAGCCAGACCUCCAGAGAGAAAAUUUUAUUUAAAGUGUUAGGCAAUUUGAACUCAGUCUGCUGGGAAGGUCACUUUUUCGGCCAAACAAGGUCAGUGAAGAAACUGCUCCUGGGCACUGACACUUUCCUUGUGAAGGGUCCUGCUUUUCGUUUCCUGAAGCGGUUCCGUUUACCCAGGGUCUUUAGAACGGCCAUCCCCGCCACCUCCCCAUACCUCCCACUGGGGGACUGGGGCGGCCCUGGCUACACUCCCAGGGUGAGUCUGGCAGAGCUGGGACAGGCCCCAGAGAAAUGUACUGCAAGUCAGAGCCUGUGCCAGGAUGAGGGGGCCUGCCCACUCCUCCAGUCACCUCCCAGCAAGGGGUUCCCCCAAAGCUCCUCCC